AAUCAACGCUGGCGGCGUGCCUCAGACAUGCAAGUCGAACGCGAAAGUUCCCUUCGGGGGAGUAAGUAGUGUGGCGUCCGGGUGAGUAACACGUAGGUAAUCUACCUUUGGGUGGGGAAGUAACAACCGGAAACGGUUGCUAAUACCGCAUAAUGCAGCGGCACCACAUGGUGACAGUUGUUAAAGCGGGGGAGUCGCAAGACCUCGCGCCUAAAGAGGAGCCUGCGGCGGAUUAGCUAGUUGGAGGGUAACGGCCUACCAAGGCAACGAUCCGUAGCCGGCCCUGAGAGGGCGGUCGGCCACACUGACACUGAAAUACGGGUCAGACUCCUACGGGA
Molecule: ribosomal RNA, 338 nt
Filed under: uncultured bacterium
Lineage: Bacteria
Description: bacterial SSU rRNA
Rfam family: Bacterial small subunit ribosomal RNA
Source: RNAcentral